This 818-nucleotide ribosomal RNA is filed under the name uncultured crenarchaeote. Its description in RNAcentral is "bacterial SSU rRNA". It matches the Rfam family "Archaeal small subunit ribosomal RNA", at positions 58 to 859 of the family's 1478-position model. Lineage: Archaea; Thermoproteati; Thermoproteota. The record is from RNAcentral.
CCCUUCAGCCACGAAGAAGGCGCGGCACACAGCUCAGUAACACGUAGCUAACCUGCCCUCGGGACGAGAACACCCCCGGGAAACUGGGGCUAAUUCUCGAUAGGCGAAGAACUCUGGAAUGAGUCUUUACCCAAAAGACGUUUAGAUCAUGCUUCUAGGCGUCGCCCAAGGAUGGGGCUGCGACCGAUCAGGUAGUUGGUGAGGCAAUGGCUCACCAAGCCUUUAACCGGUGCGGGCCGUGGGAGCGGGAGCCCGGAGAUGGGCACUGAGGCAAGGGCCCAGGCCCUACGGGGCGCAGCAGUCGCGAAAACUUUGCAAUAAGCGAAAGCUUGACAGGGCUAUCCCGAGUGCCAUCCGCUGAGGAAGGCUUUUACCAGUCUAGUAAGCUGGGGGAAUAAGGAGAGGGCAAGUCUGGUGUCAGCCGCCGCGGUAAUACCAGCUCUCCGAGUGGUGUGGAUGUUUAUUGGGCCUAAAGCAUCCGUAGCUGGCUGAGUUAGUCCCCUGUUAAAUCCACCGAAUCAAUCGUUGGAUUGCGGGGGAUACUGCUCGGCUAGGGGACGGGAGAGGCAGACGGUAUUUCCGGGGUAAGGGUGAAAUCCUAUAAUCCCAGGAAGACCACCAGUGGCGAAGGCUGUCUGCUAGAACGCGCCCGACGGUGAGGGAUGAAAGCUGGGGGAGCGAACCGGAUUAGAUACCCGGGUAGUCCCAGCUGUAAACGAUGCAGGCUAGGUGUUUGGACGGCCACGUGCCGUUCUAGUGCCGCAGGGAAGCUGUUAAGCCUGCCGCCUGGGGAGUACGAUCGCAAGAUUGAAACUUAG